UUGACCUCAAAUCGGGUGAGACUACCCGCUGAACUUAAGCAUAUCAAUAAGCGGAGGAAAAGAAACUAACAAGGAUUCCCCUAGUAACUGCGAGUGAAGCGGGAAAAGCUCAAAUUUAAAAUCUGGUGGCCUUUGGUCAUCCGAGUUGUAAUUUAGAGAAGCGUCUUCCGCGCUGGACCGUGCACAAGUCUCCUGGAAUGGAGCGUCAUAGAGGGUGAGAAUCCCGUCUUUGGCACGGAUCCCGGUGCUUAUGUGAUGCGCUCUCGAAGAGUCGAGUUGUUUGGGAAUGCAGCUCAAAAUGGGUGGUGAACUCCAUCUAAAGCUAAAUAUUGGCGAGAGACCGAUAGCGAUCAAGUACCGUGAGGGAAAGAUGAAAAGCACUUUGGAAAGAGAGUGAAACAGUACGUGAAAUUGUUGAAAGGGAAACGCUUGAAGUCAGUCGCGUCGUCCGAGA
RNAcentral lists this ribosomal RNA (454 nucleotides) under Russula emetica. Its description in RNAcentral is "partial 28S ribosomal RNA". It matches the Rfam family "Eukaryotic large subunit ribosomal RNA", at positions 1 to 447 of the family's 3401-position model. The record is from RNAcentral. Lineage: Eukaryota; Fungi; Basidiomycota; Agaricomycetes; Russulales; Russulaceae. RNAcentral also lists the same sequence under 1 other name.